Molecule: transfer RNA, 73 nt
Rfam family: tRNA
About the family: Transfer RNA (tRNA) molecules are approximately 80 nucleotides in length. Their secondary structure includes four short double-helical elements and three loops (D, anti-codon, and T loops). Further hydrogen bonds mediate the characteristic L-shaped molecular structure. tRNAs have two regions of fundamental functional importance: the anti-codon, which is responsible for specific mRNA codon recognition, and the 3' end, to which the tRNAs corresponding amino acid is attached (by aminoacyl-tRNA synthetases). tRNAs cope with the degeneracy of the genetic code in two manners: having more than one tRNA (with a specific anti-codon) for a particular amino acid; and 'wobble' base-pairing, i.e. permitting non-standard base-pairing at the 3rd anti-codon position.
Source: Rfam
GGUUCCGUGGUCUAAUGGUUAUGACGUCUGCUUCACACGCUGAAGGUUCCCGGUUCGAUCCCGGGCGGAGCCA